RNAcentral lists this long non-coding RNA (390 nucleotides) under Rosa chinensis. RNAcentral's name for it is "sRNA RchiOBHm_Chr6g0277881". Lineage: Eukaryota; Viridiplantae; Streptophyta; Magnoliopsida; Rosales; Rosaceae. The record is from RNAcentral.
GCGCCCAUACUUCGUCGCCUGGGUCGCGCCCAUACUUCACCGCCAGGGUUGCGCCCUUGGUUCGCCGUCGGGGUCGUGCCCUUGCUUCUUAGCCGGGUCGCCCGCUUGCUUCGCCGCUGGGUCGCCCCCUUUGCUUCACCACCGGCUCGCACCCUUACUUCGCCUCAGGGUCGCCCACUUGGUUCGCCGCCGGAGUCCUUGCUUCUCAGCCUGGUCGCCCACUUGCUUCACCACCGGGUCGCGCCCUUGCUUCGCCACCAGGUCACGCACUUGGUUUGCUGCCGGGAUCGUGCACUUGCUUCGCCGCCGGAGUCACGAGCUUGCUUCGCCUCUGGGGUUGCGCUCGCGCCCUUGCUUUGUCGCCUAGCUUCGCCGGAGCCCUAGAUGUCG